Notolabrus celidotus (New Zealand spotty) is the source of this 2046-nucleotide long non-coding RNA. RefSeq lists it as uncharacterized. The record is from RefSeq and is a predicted model, not a curated record. The transcript is spliced from 3 exons. Lineage: Eukaryota; Metazoa; Chordata; Actinopteri; Labriformes; Labridae.
AAAAGCACCCUGUUCCUGAGGUGCCACCCAUGAAAGGUGCUUGGUCCUGUUUGUAUGACUUCACCUGAUUGAGGUGAUGAGCCGCAGCUGGGAUGCGAAGAGGACGCCGACAGAUAACCAAGAGACUCAACCACAGAGAUGUCCAAGAAUCCUUUGAGAAUCAACACAGCUUUUCAACUUAACUCAACCAAACAAAAAUAACUAUUGAACUCAAAGAAGAAGCUUGGGCUCACCACUCACCACCCACGCCAUCCAGUAUACUCCGGCAGACUGGUGCGCAGAUUUGAGGUCAGGAGUUAAGGUGUCCAAACAGAGAGGAUGCCAAUGAGGCUGCAGGAUCUGAGGGCCCCCCGAAACGACAAGAAGCAGCCGAGCAGAAUAUGGCAGAGCGAUUUUGGAUGAGAAAUGAUGAGGAAGAGAGGAGAAGAGGAGGAGGAGCAUCAUCAUUAGCAAGGGAGUAUGACCCAGUUACGCACAAUGCCUCGAGGGCGGAAAGCAAAGGGGACCGACAGUCGUGCAAACUCACAUGCCGAUAAACACACGUGCGUUUGUCAUACUCUGCCAAGACCCAGACAAGUUCCACAGUAAAGGGCAAGGCAGGUACAAGCCUGGACACGCUGAGGUGAGGUGGUGACAGGAACAGGUCUGAGGCUCUCACACACACAUACAUACAUCACAGAGAGGAGCAGUGACAGAGAAAUCUGAGGCCACACACCAUCAAACUGGCUUUUUCGCUUUCAGUGACCUACAUUCACCACGUUAGAGGAGUGAAGGGGUUGUAGCUGCUGCAUUCUCAUGACCGACAAGCAGACACUCAGCCAUAUCUCCUUCUGUUCCUCUGCCCUGCGGUUUCCCCUCAGCUGAGUAAGCUGGAGCAGUGUUAUGUAUGCUCUAUAUGAAGAGAUGAAAGUGGAAGUUGAGAAGAAAAACUUGCAAAGCAAAGUGAAAUCACAAGAAACGAGUCGUCCUCAGAAACCUUCCUGCAGGGUGAACUAGAUUGAAUUCUCUAAACCGAUGUGACAAAGUGUUCAUCUCAACAAGCCGAGAUGAUGAGUAUGACUAAGCACUUCCCUGACAAUCUGUGCAUCUCUGCCAUCAAAUUCAAGAGCCAUCAGUGUCGGUUACAGCAAGCAGUGGGCUGCAUCUAUCUUUUGUCUGGGUGUCAGAUGGGAAACAUGUUGGAGUGGGCUUCAGAGAGCUCUGCCAUGUGUGUGUUUGUCCUUUGGUUAACGUGCCAGAUUGUCUCCAAGCUGACGAGGCCAAUUCGCUCCCUUCAGUCCUCAUUUCUGUUUUAUUGUUAUAAAAAAAAAAGGGACAAUGGCUGAGCUGUGAACAAAGGCUGGAGGAGAGAUGACGGAUGGCAAACGAUUACUGAAAGUGAUGGAGAAACAUCUCCAAUUCUAAUGGGACAGGAGGGGAGAGGAGGGGGCAGCUGGGGGUCAAAGUGCGGUGAAACCCUGCAGGGAAUUCAGGACAAAGUGUGUGUGCAGGGGAGAAGAAAGGGGGAAGAUCAGGGAUUGUUUGGACCGUCACAGUCCCCAACCGAUUUCCAUAAAUGAGUCAGGGACACGUGCCCAACUGUGUUUGUGUUGCACUGGCAGCUGCUGUCGUGUUUAACGAAUGCAGUGUCAGCGAGGGAGUAAGUUCAACACAUUUAUUUCAGUCUGGAGCUUGACUUUGACUCAGUUCAUCAUCUGUGAGGUUGUUCUGCUGCACCCUGGUCAUGUUUGUGUUUCUUUGCUUCAGAGGUUUUUCCAGAACAUGAAAACCGAAACCAAACUGAACAGAGAGUGGCUUGUUAACGAUACAGCAAGAAGUUUAGGUGCUCGCCCACUAAACUGUGUUAACCAUUAAACUCAUGAAGAAAAACAGGACGGUCGAGAGCUGUGAGAAAAUCUGUCUUUGUAUGAAUCAUUGUUAAAUCUGAAAUCAGAUGAGCAUGUAUAAAAGAACAUUUAAAUAUAGUUACAUGUAUUUGAACUACAAUUUGUUAUGCAAAUGAUCAAACUUUUGACAGCAGACAUACUGUUGGAUUAAAUAUCAUAA